Molecule: ribosomal RNA, 475 nt
Filed under: uncultured bacterium
Lineage: Bacteria
Description: partial 16S ribosomal RNA
Rfam family: Bacterial small subunit ribosomal RNA
Source: RNAcentral
UGGGGAAUAUUGCACAAUGGGCGCAAGCCUGAUGCAGCCAUGCCGCGUGUGUGAAGAAGGCCUUCGGGUUGUAAAGCACUUUCAGCGAGGAGGAAGGUGGUGAGCUUAAUACGCUCAUCAAUUGACGUUACUAGCAGAAGAAGCACCGGCUAACUCCGUGCCAGCAGCCGCGGUAAUACGGAGGGUGCAAGCGUUAAUCGGAAUUACUGGGCGUAAAGCGCACGCAGGCGGUUUGUUAAGUCAGAUGUGAAAUCCCCGGGCUCAACCUGGGAACUGCAUUUGAAACUGGCAAGCUAGAGUCUCGUAGAGGGGGGUAGAAUUCCAGGUGUAGCGGUGAAAUGCGUAGAGAUCUGGAGGAAUACCGGUGGCGAAGGCGGCCCCCUGGACGAAGACUGACGCUCAGGUGCGAAAGCGUGGGGAGCAAACAGAUUAGNUACCCUGGUAGUCACGCUGUAAACGAUGUCGAUUUUGGAGG